This 377-nucleotide ribosomal RNA is filed under the name uncultured bacterium. Its description in RNAcentral is "bacterial SSU rRNA". It matches the Rfam family "Bacterial small subunit ribosomal RNA", at positions 521 to 896 of the family's 1533-position model. The record is from RNAcentral.
UAAUACGUAGGGUGCAAGCGUUAGUCGGAAUUACUGGGCGUAAAGCGUGCGCAGGCGGUUAUUUAAGUCAGGUGUGAAAGCCCCGGGCUCAACCCGGGAAUUGCGCUUGAAACUAGAUAGCUAGAGUUUAGCAGAGGGGGGUGGAAUUCCACGUGUAGCAGUGAAAUGCGUAGAGAUGUGGAGGAACACCGAUGGCGAAGGCAGCCCCCUGGGCUAAAACUGACGCUCAUGCACGAAAGCGUGGGGAGCAAACAGGAUUAGAUACCCUGGUAGUCCACGCCCUAAACGAUGUCAACUAGUUGUCGGGAGAGGUGACUUUCUUGGUAACGUAGCUAACGCGUGAAGUUGACCGCCUGGGGAGUACGGUCGCAAGAUUA